Molecule: transfer RNA, 79 nt
Filed under: Elusimicrobia bacterium GWC2_64_44
Lineage: Bacteria; Pseudomonadati; Elusimicrobiota
Also listed under: 3 other names
Description: tRNA-Asp
Rfam family: tRNA
About the family: Transfer RNA (tRNA) molecules are approximately 80 nucleotides in length. Their secondary structure includes four short double-helical elements and three loops (D, anti-codon, and T loops).
Source: RNAcentral
GGGGUCGUGGUGUAGCCUGGUUUAACACGUCGCCCUGUCAAGGCGAAGACCGCGGGUUCAAAUCCCGUCGACCCCGCCA